UGACGUCCAAUGUUUCGACCGUUUAUCCAAACUUGACCUUUCCCCAUUGUGUUCAUGUCCAAAGCCAAUGGUUCGUUUCCUGCCGGUGUGGUAAAAGUAGACAGCAAUAGAAAGAGAAAAGUUAUGUUCAUUUGUUCAUUUUAUCAUAUUUGUUUAUGGAGAUGAUGUUUGAUUCUUGUGUAUUUCUCUUACCUUGUACCAGGUCAAUGGUUGCUUCUUGACCACUAAUGAUCCUUGAUUCCAUCUCACGGUGGAACUGUCGGUAUGAAGACUCAAACCUUCACCCUUAACACCAAUCUGUUCAAAAUCACAUUUAAAAUUCAUUGUUAUGAUUAGUUUGUUGUUACCAGGAAACUCAAAACUUGAGAGUUGGUUUUGAAUUUCAGGGAGGACCUUAUAAGACCAUUUCCAUUUUGACAUUUCCCAUGUUCCCGAGUUAACUCCUUUCAGUGUGACCGGUCCAAGAACCCCUUUAUUCCACUUCUCAAAGUGUGUACCGACAUUCUGCAACCAAACCAAGAACCAUAAAGCUCAAAGAUCUAAUUAUCUUCUGCGGACAAAAAACUGCUAUUACAAGAGAUAGGAUUAUCUCAUCAGGAACUAACCGG
This 608-nucleotide long non-coding RNA is filed under the name Eutrema salsugineum. Its description in RNAcentral is "long non-coding RNA (ESAL_LNC001156)". Lineage: Eukaryota; Viridiplantae; Streptophyta; Magnoliopsida; Brassicales; Brassicaceae. The record is from RNAcentral.